AUUGAACGCUGGCGGCAGGCCUAACACAUGCAAGUCGAGCGAGCGGCGGACGGGUGAGUAAUGUCUGGGAAACUGCAUGAUGGAUGGGGAUAACUACUGGAAACGGUAGCUAAUACCGCAUACCAUCAGUAGUGACCAGAUGGGAUGAGCUAGUGGGGGGGGUAACGGCUCACCUAGUCGACGAUACCUAGCUGGUCUGAGAGGAUGACCAGCCACACUGGAACUGAGACACGGUCCAGACUCCUACGGGAGGCAGCAGUGGGGAAUAUUGAACAAUGGGCGCAAGCCUGAUGCAGCCAUGCCGCGUGUGUGAAGAAGGCCUUCGGGUUGUAAAGCACUUUCAGCGGGGAGGCGUUACCCGCAGAAGAAGCACCGGCUAACUCCGUGCCAGCAGCCGCGGUAAUAC
Molecule: ribosomal RNA, 406 nt
Filed under: uncultured bacterium
Lineage: Bacteria
Description: partial 16S ribosomal RNA
Rfam family: Bacterial small subunit ribosomal RNA
Source: RNAcentral